Molecule: non-coding RNA, 74 nt
Organism: Podarcis lilfordi (Lilford's wall lizard)
Lineage: Eukaryota; Metazoa; Chordata; Lepidosauria; Squamata; Lacertidae
Source: the annotation of a GenBank genome assembly
GCCUGGGAUAGCUCAGUUGGCAGAGCAUGAGACACUUGAUCUCAGGGUCAUGGGUUCAAGCCCCACACUGGGCA